AGGAUCCACUCGUCCAAACGCAAUUGCAUAGAGAGGGCCUUUGGAGUUUGGAAGAUGAAAUGGCAAAUUCUUUUGAAGAUGCCAAGCUACUCAAUUGAAACCCACAAGAUGAUAGUGGCUGGUACCAUGGCAUUGCACAAUUAUGUUCGCUUCCAUGACAAGUCAAAUCUCCACUUUGUUCGAUGUGAUAGGGAUCCGGAUUAUGUGCCAACAAUUCCAGAACGGUAUAAGAAGUUUGUUGUUCCUACAAAUGCAUCGGAUACGUCAACUUCGGAGGAAAAUGGUGUUGACAUGGAUCUAUUUAGGAACCAACUUGCUACUGACAUUGCUCUAGGUUGGUGA
RNAcentral lists this ribosomal RNA (342 nucleotides) under Triticum aestivum (bread wheat). Its description in RNAcentral is "partial small subunit ribosomal RNA". The record is from RNAcentral. Lineage: Eukaryota; Viridiplantae; Streptophyta; Magnoliopsida; Poales; Poaceae.